Molecule: transfer RNA, 74 nt
Organism: Microcoleus sp.
Lineage: Bacteria; Bacillati; Cyanobacteriota; Cyanophyceae; Oscillatoriales; Microcoleaceae
Rfam family: tRNA
About the family: Transfer RNA (tRNA) molecules are approximately 80 nucleotides in length. Their secondary structure includes four short double-helical elements and three loops (D, anti-codon, and T loops).
Source: Rfam
GCCCCUGUAGCCCAAUCGGAAGAGGUGCCGCACUUAGAAUGCGGAGGUUACUGGUUCAAGCCCAGUCAGGGGUA